Molecule: ribosomal RNA, 704 nt
Filed under: Bacillus paralicheniformis
Lineage: Bacteria; Bacillati; Bacillota; Bacilli; Caryophanales; Bacillaceae
Description: bacterial SSU rRNA
Rfam family: Bacterial small subunit ribosomal RNA
Source: RNAcentral
GUCGAGCGGACAGAUGGGAGCUUGCUCCCUGAUGUCAGCGGCGGAGGGGUGAGUAACACGUGGGUAACCUGCCUGUAAGACUGGGAUAACUCCGGGAAACCGGGGCUAAUACCGGAUGCUUGAUUGAACCGCAUGGUUCAAUUAUAAAAGGUGGCUUUUAGCUACCACUUACAGAUGGACCCGCGGCGCAUUAGCUAGUUGGUGAGGUAACGGCUCACCAAGGCAACGAUGCGUAGCCAACCUGAGAGGGUGAUCGGCCACACUGGGACUGAGACACGGCCCAGACUCCUACGGGAGGCAGCAGUAGGGAAUCUUCCGCAAUGGACGAAAGUCUGACGGAGCAACGCCGCGUGAGUGAUGAAGGUUUUCGGAUCGUAAAACUCUGUUGUUAGGGAAGAACAAGUACCGUUCGAAUAGGGCGGUACCUUGACGGUACCUAACCAGAAAGCCACGGCUAACUACGUGCCAGCAGCCGCGGUAAUACGUAGGUGGCAAGCGUUGUCCGGAAUUAUUGGGCGUAAAGCGCGCGCAGGCGGUUUCUUAAGUCUGAUGUGAAAGCCCCCGGCUCAACCGGGGAGGGUCAUUGGAAACUGGGGAACUUGAGUGCAGAAGAGGAGAGUGGAAUUCCACGUGUAGCGGUGAAAUGCGUAGAGAUGUGGAGGAACACCAGUGGCGAAGGCGACUCUCUGGUCUGUAACUGACGC